This 391-nucleotide ribosomal RNA is filed under the name uncultured Neisseria sp. RNAcentral's name for it is "bacterial SSU rRNA". It matches the Rfam family "Bacterial small subunit ribosomal RNA", at positions 958 to 1353 of the family's 1533-position model. Lineage: Bacteria; Pseudomonadati; Pseudomonadota; Betaproteobacteria; Neisseriales; Neisseriaceae. The record is from RNAcentral.
AACGCGAAGAACCUUACCUGUCUUGACAUGUACGGAAUCCUCCAGAGACGGAGGAGUGCCUUCGGGAGCCGUAACACAGGUGCUGCAUGGCUGUCGUCAGCUCGUGUCGUGAGAUGUUGGGUUAAGUCCCGCAACGAGCGCAACCCUUGUCAUUAGUUGCCAUCAUUUAGUUGGGCACUCUAAUGAGACUGCCGGUGACAAGCCGGAGGAAGGUGGGCAUGACGUCAAGUCCUCAUGGCCCUUAUGACCAGGGCUUCACACGUCAUACAAUGGUCGGUACAGAGGGUAGCCAAGCCGCGAGGUGGAGCCAAUCUCACAAAACCGAUGUAGUCCGGAUUGCACUCUGCAACUCGAGUGCAUGAAGUCGGAAUCGCUAGUAAUCGCAGUCAGC